CACAAAGAGAGACUUAGAGGGACACACAAAAUCAGCAGAACUUCAUACAUUUUCGAGUAAGUAACAAAGAUUUAUAAAAUUGGCAAUAAUACAGUCAGAAAAACCGAAUCAAUUCUCCACCAUUCAAUCUACGUAGAGUGUAGCCUCCAGUCUUUCCUCUCUUUGAUAAAAAAGAUAAUCCACCAUAAAAGCCAUAGCAGCCACACAGGCCGGAGUAAUCAGGAGGCUAACUGUUAUUCUCAGGGCAUACACUUGGUGUCGCUGCGCCUGUUGCCACGAUCCAGAUGCACCGGUAGCAAUUGGUGUCAUGUGUUUGACUCCGGAAGAAGUGUUAAACUUGUAUGUUUUGGUUUUUCACGCCUUGGGAAAUGGAUUUUACUCACGUGGAUGCACCGUGGAAACAACAAACUGACUAUCAUCGUGAAGAUUUAUGGAUUGAAGUGUCGGAUUUUUCCCCCACAUUUUUGGAUGUAACGGAGCUGUGUGGAUUUCCACUAAACGUUAGAGGACGUCUGCAGCCAUACAUCUGUAAAGAUGACAGAAGCUGUGGAACAUUGUGUCACCGAAUCACCGCACGGCGUCCAACGCACGUAGCAUGAUGUUAUUUGAAUUAUUUAAAUUUGUGUGGGCAGAUCAUCAGUGCACUGGCUGCUGAAUUGAGUGGAAUAUAGACUUUGCAUCAGUGGUGGAAGAAGUCUUCACAUCCUUUACCUACGGGGGACCAGCCAAAUAACUGCUCUGUUCUUGCUGUGGACUGGGCUCCAAAAAAGUAAACUAAUGCCUGAGAGGGGAGGAUGAAGUCCAAAGACACACAGAGAUGAUUAAAAGGUUGAAGUUGGGCUGCACUUUCGGUGCCGGACAAGGACCCCAGUGAUAAGUCUGUGCUGACACGAGAGGGAGCAGCAGGACGACGAGGAGGUAGACAGCAGACAUUGUUUCUUCAGAGGCAGAGUGCCUGCAGUAGACAAUGGAUUCUGCAAUCAAUGAAGACAGAGAUGGUACAGAGGUCUUGAUGGAUCUCCAUGAGUCAGCCGAGAACCCAGAGCUGGAGGACGUUACCGAGUUACAUCAUCGACAAG
Molecule: long non-coding RNA, 1079 nt
Organism: Lates calcarifer (barramundi perch)
Lineage: Eukaryota; Metazoa; Chordata; Actinopteri; Centropomidae
Exons: 3
Source: RefSeq, a predicted model, not a curated record